UUAUGUUAACUUAACACCUCCGGGAUUGACCCAUCUCCCAGAACAAAUCAUCUCGGGCUGAAUGGAACCUGGGUCCCUGCAGUCCGACAUAGGUUAUCACGUA
Sander lucioperca (pikeperch) is the source of this 103-nucleotide long non-coding RNA. RefSeq lists it as uncharacterized. The record is from RefSeq and is a predicted model, not a curated record. Lineage: Eukaryota; Metazoa; Chordata; Actinopteri; Perciformes; Percidae. The transcript has 4 exons.